Molecule: ribosomal RNA, 401 nt
Filed under: uncultured bacterium
Lineage: Bacteria
Description: bacterial SSU rRNA
Rfam family: Bacterial small subunit ribosomal RNA
Source: RNAcentral
GAAUAUUGGACAAUGGGCGCAAGCCUGAUCCAGCAAUGCCGCGUGAGUGAUGAAGGCCUUCGGGUUGUAAAGCUCUUUCGCACGCGACGAUGAUGACGGUAGCGUGAGAAGAAGCCCCGGCUAACUUCGUGCCAGCAGCCGCGGUAAUACGGGGGGAGCAAGCGUUGUUCGGAUUUACUGGGCGUAAAGGGCGCGUAGGCGGCCACCGCAAGUCGACUGUGAAAUCUCCGGGCUUAACCCGGAAAGGUCAGCCGAUACUGCGGGGCUAGAGUGCAGAAGGGGCAACUGGAAUUCUCGGUGUAGCGGUGAAAUGCGUAGAUAUCGAGAGGAACACCUGCGGCGAAGGCGGGUUGCUGGGCUGACACUGACGCUGAGGCGCGAAAGCUAGGGGAGCGAACGGG